AGCCCGCCGUGGACGCGUCCGGGAGCUCAGCCUCCGCGCCAGAGGCGAGUGCUGCGCUCCAGGCGCCGCGAUCCCGAGGACGCGGCCGCGCCUUCACCUCCCGCCCCGGGCACCGGCGGCGCGGCUGCUGCGGCCGCCUCCCCCCGGCGCGCGAGUCCUCUCCCAGCGGCUCCUCGCCGAGCGCCGGCUCGCCUCGGAGAGCCCGCGUCCUCGCUCCGGGCUCGGGGACCACGGACCGCCCCGCGGCGAGGGCCGGACUGCAGGCAGCGGCCAGGGAUCCCUUUUGGGCAGAGAGAAUGAGUACAUAAGGUUCUGAAGAUGCCGACUAUCAGACGAUAGCCAUUACCAAUUCAUUCCUUCAUUUAUUCAUUAUUCAUAUCUGUUCAAGAUUUACUGAACAGAUAUUUUGUGCCAAGUGCUAUGCUAGGAGCUUUGAAUUCAUCCCUGAAUAAGAACAGCAACAAAAGCAGACCCCUGAUGUUGUUGGAGGACAGCUUAGGGGCUCCCCCGCACCCCUGUGAAGAUUUGCACAACCCCUCUGCUGGGUGCGGUAUCUCAGGUCCCCUCGUUACCACGAAUUGCAAGUCGUUGCCACCACGACAUCGAGUCACCACCUGCUUGAGAAGAAUGAACUUCUUUCAGAACCAGCAGAAGCUGUCUUCUUCCAGUGAAGCUGAGAGUUGGGGACCCUAGAGGAUAAUGUUUGAACAGGUGGGAAGUGUUGGGGGCUCAAGGUGUGUGAACUAGGGCAUGGAUUCCCAG
RNAcentral lists this long non-coding RNA (762 nucleotides) under Heterocephalus glaber (naked mole-rat). RNAcentral's name for it is "lncRNA (ENSHGLG00000045143.1)". The record is from RNAcentral. Lineage: Eukaryota; Metazoa; Chordata; Mammalia; Rodentia; Bathyergidae.